RNAcentral lists this ribosomal RNA (453 nucleotides) under uncultured bacterium. Its description in RNAcentral is "bacterial SSU rRNA". It matches the Rfam family "Bacterial small subunit ribosomal RNA", at positions 340 to 784 of the family's 1533-position model. The record is from RNAcentral.
UACGGGAGGCAGCAGUGGGGAAUAUUGCACAAUGGGCGAAAGCCUGAUGCAGCUAUGCCGCGUGUAUGAAGAAGGCCUUAGGGUUGUAAAGUACUUUCAUCGGGGAGGAAAAAACAAAACUAAUAAUUUUAUUUCUUGACGUUACCCGAAAAAGAAGCACCGGCUAACUCCGUGCCAGCAGCCGCGGUAAUACGGAGGGUGCUAGCGUUAAUCAGAAUUACUGGGCGUAAAGAGCACGUAGGUGGUUUUUUUAAGUCAGAUGUGAAAUCCCUGGGCUUAACCUAGGAACUGCAUUUUGAAACUGAAAUACUAGAGUAUCGUAGAGGGAGGUAGAAUUCUAGGUGUAGCGGUGAAAUGCGUAGAUAUCUGGAGGAAUACCUGUGGCGAAAGCGGCCUCCUAAACGAAUACUGACACUGAGGUGCGAAAGCGUGGGGAGCGAACAGGAUUAGAUA